This 471-nucleotide ribosomal RNA is filed under the name uncultured bacterium. RNAcentral's name for it is "bacterial SSU rRNA". It matches the Rfam family "Bacterial small subunit ribosomal RNA", at positions 28 to 507 of the family's 1533-position model. The record is from RNAcentral.
GACGAACGCUGGCGGCGUGCCUAACACAUGCAAGUCGUGCGGGGAGGAGAUAGCUUGCUAUCGAAUCCCAGCGGCGGACGGGUGAGUAACGCGUGAGCAAUCUGCCUCAAACAGGGGGAUAACGCAUCGAAAGAUGUGCUAAUACCGCGUAAGACCACAGUACCGCAUGGUACAGGGGUCAAAGGAGCAAUCCGGUGCCUUAAGAUGGGCUCGCGUCCAAUUAGCUAGUUGGUGGGGUAACGGCCCACCAAGGCAACGAUUGGUAGCCGGACUGAGAGGUUGAACGGCCACAUUGGAACUGAGAAACGGUCCAGACUCCUACGGGAGGCAGCAGGUGGGGGAUAUUGCGCAAUGGGGGAAACCCUGACGCAGCAACGCCGCGUGAAGGAAGAAGGCCUUCGGGUUGUAAACUUUUGUCUUUUGGGAAGAAGAAUGACGGUACCAAAGGAGGAAGCCACGGCUAACUACGUG